Molecule: ribosomal RNA, 460 nt
Filed under: uncultured bacterium
Lineage: Bacteria
Description: partial 16S ribosomal RNA
Rfam family: Bacterial small subunit ribosomal RNA
Source: RNAcentral
CCUACGGGAGGCAGCAGUGAGGAAUAUUGGUCAAUGGGCGCAAGCCUGAACCAGCCAAGUCGCGUGAGGGAUGACAGUCCUAUGGAUUGUAAACCUCUUUUGUCGGGGAGCAAGGCCCGCCACGUGUGGCGGGAAGGAGAGUACCCGAAGAAAAAGCAUCGGCUAACUCCGUUCCAGCAGCCGCGGUCAUACGUAGGAUGCGAGCGUUCUCCGGAUUUAUUGGGUUAAAGGGGUGCGGAGGCGGAAGGUUAAGUCAGCGGUAAAAUGUCGGUGCUCAACACCGGCCUGCCGUUGAAACUGGUCUUCUUGAGUGAGCGAGAAGUAUGCGGAAUGCGUGGUGUAGCGGUGAAAUGCAUAGAUAUCACGAAGAACUCCGAUUGCGAAGGCAGCAUACCGGCGCUCAACUGACGCUGAGGCACGAAAGCGUGGGGAUCGAACAGGAUUAGAUACCCUAGUAGUC